RNAcentral lists this ribosomal RNA (465 nucleotides) under uncultured bacterium. RNAcentral's name for it is "bacterial SSU rRNA". It matches the Rfam family "Bacterial small subunit ribosomal RNA", at positions 330 to 793 of the family's 1533-position model. The record is from RNAcentral.
GAUGUACUCCUACGGGAGGCAGCAGUGGGAAUAUUGCACAAUGGGCGCAAGCCUGAUGCAGCCAUGCCGCGUGUAUGAAGAAGGCCUUCGGUUGUAAAGUACUUCAGCAGUGAGGAAGGUGGGUAGUUAAUAGCAUACUCAUUUGACGUUAGCUGCAGAAGAAGCACCGGCUAACCCGUGCCAGCAGCCGCGGUAAUACGGAGGGUGCGAGCGUUAAUCGGAAUUACUGGGCGUAAAGCGCAUGCAGGUGGUUUAUCAAGUCAGGGGUGAAAGGCUACGGCUCAACCGUAGUGAGCCUCUGAAACUGGUGAACUUGAGUGUAGGAGAGGAAAGUGGAAUUCCCAGUGUAGCGGUGAAAUGCGUAGAUAUUGGGAGGAACACCAGUGGCGAAGGCGACUUUCUGGACUACAACUGACGCUGAGGCACGAAAGCGUGGGGAGCAAACAGGAUUAGAUACCCUGGUAG